This 488-nucleotide long non-coding RNA is filed under the name Heterocephalus glaber (naked mole-rat). RNAcentral's name for it is "lncRNA (ENSHGLG00000043486.1)". Lineage: Eukaryota; Metazoa; Chordata; Mammalia; Rodentia; Bathyergidae. The record is from RNAcentral.
GCCCUCAAUUCCCCACUGGUGAAAAAACAUGGAAAUCGCUACGCCUAGGGGAAUAUCUGUGAGCCUGGCUGAAGAUGCCCCUGGCUCACCAUUUGUAUUUCUACCAAGAGUUUUGGAGGCUCUUAUGCUCAGGGAGAAGAUCGGCCACUGGCCUCUCUCUUCCCCUGGGCUAUGAGAUACUUGAGGAAACUUCUGUAGCCCAGCAUACAGCGUGUGCCAAAGAAAGCUGUUUGCAAGUAAGAACUGUGGCUCAAGCACAAAGGGGCUGACCAAGAGAGACACAUUUAGAGGAAGAGAGAGAUGCAAAAACAAACAAAAUCCUACCCUGACCAUUGCCACUGGAGCACGAGCAUCCCUACCCCAACACUAUGCCUCUUGCCCCACCGCCCCAUCUUGGCCACAUCAUCUGAGCUGAUCAGCCUCCCCAUGGUUCACAAGGGUCCCAGCUCUUCUAGAUCCUUGGCCAUGACAAUACUGUUCGGGACAAU